GAUGAACGCUGGCGGCGUGCUUAACACAUGCAAGUCGAACGGAAAGGCCCAAGCUUGCUUGGGUACUCGAGUGGCGAACGGGUGAGUAACACGUGGGUGAUCUGCCCUGCACUUCGGGAUAAGCCUGGGAAACUGGGUCUAAUACCGGAUAGGACGAUGGCUUGGAUGCCAUUGUGGAAAGUUUUUUCGGUUUGGGAUGAGCACGCGGCCUAUCAGCUUGUUGGUGGGGUAAUGGCCUACCAAGGCGUCGACGGCUAGCCGGCCUGAGAGGGUGUACGGCCACAUUGGGACUGAGAUACGGCCCAGACUCCUACGGGAGGCAGCAGUGGGGAAUAUUGCACAAUGGGCGCCAGCCUGAUGCAGCAACGCCGCGUGGGGGAUGAGGGCCUUCGGGUUGUAAGCUCCUUUCGCUAUGGACGAAGCGUUUUUGUGACGGUACCUGGAGAAGAAGCACCGGCUAACUACGUG
This 468-nucleotide ribosomal RNA is filed under the name uncultured bacterium. Its description in RNAcentral is "partial 16S ribosomal RNA". It matches the Rfam family "Bacterial small subunit ribosomal RNA", at positions 28 to 507 of the family's 1533-position model. The record is from RNAcentral.